AUGAUCCAUGUUAAAAACCCAAAACUUGAAUGUUAUUGAUCACGUAGACCAUAACAGGCACUAUACAAAAUUUUGGGGUGAACAACAGUGAACAACAUGAUGAUGAAAAUUAAGAUUAAAUGAUGAAGCACUACAAAAAUAUUACCGUGAGUCAUGCAACAUAGUUCACGGAGCGUGACACAUUUCUAUAAGAACGUCACAAUACUAUACAGACAUUUGAUUAUCUGGAGGGUAGAAUAAUGAUGAAAUUAAAUAUUUAAUUUACAAUUUUACAAUCAUGCACUAUCUGGUAAGGGAGUUCAUCGUACUUAGGUGUCAUCAUACCUAUUUGGUAUUAAGUAUUCGUUAAGCUGCAAUGUUUGUGAUGUUUUUUUUUAGACAUUUAAAAUUAUCUAUUUUCAUUAUAAAUAUUGAACACCGAUUCCGAAUUGAUACUGUUGGAACAUGUCAUGUCUACCCAUCAUUAAAGGCAUUACGAGAUUUAAUUCGA
Molecule: long non-coding RNA, 490 nt
Organism: Cotesia glomerata
Lineage: Eukaryota; Metazoa; Arthropoda; Insecta; Hymenoptera; Braconidae
Exons: 2
Source: RefSeq, a predicted model, not a curated record